GCGGCGGACUCGUGAUGAUGCGGAUCGCAGAUACCAGAGCCGCCUGCAGGAUCUGAAAGAUCGCCUGGAGCAG
RNAcentral lists this unclassified non-coding RNA (73 nucleotides) under Mus musculus (house mouse). Its description in RNAcentral is "partial derived from hnRNA or mRNA fragment, or novel small non-messenger RNA without known sequence-or structural motifs". The record is from RNAcentral. Lineage: Eukaryota; Metazoa; Chordata; Mammalia; Rodentia; Muridae.